ACUUUCUCGCCCGCCCUCUCCUGCGCGCCCUGGCCCCACUCGCGCGGGCUCUCUCUUUUUCCCGUUGCACCAGCGUCGGGAUGAAGUCGGGAGCAAAGCCCUUCCCGGGGCGGUCCAGCGUUCACCUUCGGCGAGCACCUAAGGUGCCGCUGCUGCUGGGGUCGCUUCUACACCCCAAACUACCUAGCAAGUGUUGGGCGAGAGGAUGGGGAGCUGCUGUGCCCCGGGGGUGGCGGGGGGUAAGGUGGGCCCUUCCCCAAACGGCUCUGGGGCAUGGAGAGGUACAGAACGUCCUCCGGGUUCAGAGUUUCCAAGUGCGUGCGCUGGUUGACGCCUGAAGGAGACCAAGCAGCAGGGAACACUCUCUCUGUCACCCAGGGAGAGCCCGAGUGGCCAGAAUCCGAAGUCACCAUUAGACACUCUCUCUGCGCUCUUGGACACCUCCAGAGAAAAAGCCAGCACAUCCUGCCUUGGCUGGAAAAGCCAGCCUUCCACCCAGCGCCCCUAAAAUGAUCGGGUUGACUCCAGUUUUGUUACGAAAGGAGGCCGGGCUGCUGAGAGGCUCCCUGAGUUCCCUUCGUGGUCGCCCGUCACAUUGCCCUGCUGUAUACUUAAUAAAGCCCGUGUUUAUCUUUCUCUUUAGAACCCCCUCUAAGCAGACCCAUCGCUUUAUUGCUUUAAAACAUACACUAAGUGGUGAGUGGAGCUGGGGCGAGGGAGGUGCG
This 725-nucleotide long non-coding RNA is filed under the name Homo sapiens (human). RNAcentral describes it as "HSALNT0246745". The record is from RNAcentral. Lineage: Eukaryota; Metazoa; Chordata; Mammalia; Primates; Hominidae.